AAAAAAAAAAAAUAUAUAUAUAUAUAUAUAUAUAUAUAUAUAUAUAUAUAUAUAUAUAUAUAUAUAUAUAUAUAUAUAUAUAUAUAUAUAUAUAUAUAUAUAUAAAGUGAAAGUCGUGACAUUUGCCAAGUAUGGUAGCCCAUACUCGGAAUUGGUGCUCUGCAUUUAGCCCAUCCAAGUGCACACACACAGCAGUGAAGAAGUGAACACACUGUGAUCACACACCCGGAGCAGUGGGCAGCUAUAGAUCCAGCGCCCAGGGAGCAACUGUGGGUUCAGUGCCUUGCUCAAGGGCACUUCAGUCAUGGGUAUUGAGGGUGGAAGAAAGCACUGUUUAUUCACUCCCUCCUCCUACAACUCCUGACAGCAAUGAGACUUGAACAUGCGACCUUCCAACUCUCUAACCAUUAGGCCACAGCUGUCCCCUCUGUGUGUAUGUAUAUAUAUAUAUAUAUAUAUAUAUAUAUAUAUAUAUAUAUACACACUAAAAAAUCCUGGGUUAUUUUUUCUACCCAAGUGCUGGGUUGAGCCAUUUGGGUAAAUUUUUUGGGUUAUUUUCUCAGUCUUGGGUAGUUUUUGGGUAGUUCUAUGUAACCCAACCGCUGGGUUAUUUUCUGGGUCGUUUUCACUGAGAGCUGAAUCAAUGCACCCCCUCCCCCACUCGGACGCAAUAACCCAGCUCAUUGGAGUAACCCCAGAGUGCAGUCUGGACGAUGGGGCGGGGCGACACUUCGAGGCGGAGCGACACGUGUCGCCCCGCCCAUAUUUGUUUCCCCGCCUUUGACAUUUUCCUCCGAGCCAGCAGGGGGCAGUUUGCGUUGAAACAAACAGAUCGGUGGCAACUACAGCAGCAGAGUAAUAACGCUAUUCCGUUGAUUGCUUGAGGAUGACAUGAUCAGGAGGUGGUGGUGUUCUGUUCUCCUGGACAGCUUCACUCCACAAAUAGCUCAACCACUGAGGGGAGGAACUUCACCAUUCACCAUGUCUUCAGGCAGAGUCCAGCAAAGCAGAUGGUUCAGGGUUGUGCUCCGAAGUUUUUCGGAAAGCGGCACAGUUUGCCUGGCUAGACAUUGUGGCCAACUGGAAGAAUUGUCCUCCUGUCUCCUGACCGGAACGAGUUCAGACGGAUGUACUGCAUCAGGGAAUGCUUGCAGUGCAGAGCCCUUUUCAAGUUUAACCCACUGGGUACAGGGAAGAGACCGGCGUGGUGAUCUUCUGGGCUUUUGUUUACACAGGAUUUUGUUCCAAGGACUGUUGUUUUUUUUUUUUUUCUUUUUUUUUUCGGCAUGA
Molecule: long non-coding RNA, 1290 nt
Filed under: Carassius auratus (goldfish)
Lineage: Eukaryota; Metazoa; Chordata; Actinopteri; Cypriniformes; Cyprinidae
Description: lncRNA (ENSCARG00000053267.1)
Source: RNAcentral